Molecule: ribosomal RNA, 777 nt
Filed under: uncultured Eubacteriales bacterium
Lineage: Bacteria; Bacillati; Bacillota; Clostridia; Eubacteriales
Description: bacterial SSU rRNA
Rfam family: Bacterial small subunit ribosomal RNA
Source: RNAcentral
AGAGUUUGAUUCUGGCUCAGGACGAACGCUGGCGGCGUGCUUAACACAUGCAAGUCGAACGGACGUAGAAAUACGUUAGUGGCGGACGGGUGAGUAACGCGUGAGCAAUCUGCCUCUAUCAUCGGGAUAACACACGGAAACGAGUGCUAAUACCGAAUAAGACCACAUACCGGCAUCGGAGAGGGGUCAAAGAUUUUAUCGGAUAGAGAUGAGCUCGCGUCCCAUUAGCUAGUUGGUAGGGUAACGGCUUACCAAGGCGACGAUGGGUAGCCGACCUGAGAGGGUGAUCGGCCACACUGGAACUGAGAUACGGUCCAGACUCCUACGGGAGGCAGCAGUGGGGAAUAUUGGGCAAUGGAGGCAACUCUGACCCAGCAACGCCGCGUGAAUGAAGAAGGUCUUCGGAUUGUAAAGUUCUUUAGCGAGGGACGAAAAGAAUGACGGUACCUCGAGAAUAAGCCACGACUAACUACGUGCCAGCAGUCGCGGUAAUACGUAGGUGGCGAGCGUUGUCCGGAAUGACUGGGCGUAAAGGGAGCGUAGGCGGCACAACAAGUUAGGAGUGAAAUACCGUGGCUUAACCACGGAACUGCUUUUAAAACUGUUGAGCUAGAGUGAUGGAGAGGAAAGCGGAAUUCCUAGUGUAGCGGUGGAAUGCGUAGAUAUUAGGAGGAACACCAGAGGCGAAGGCGGCUUUCUGGACAUUAACUGACGCUGAGGCUCGAAAGCGUGGGGAGCAAACAGGAUUAGAUACCCUGGUAGUCCACGCCGUAAACG